Diospyros lotus (date-plum) is the source of this 615-nucleotide long non-coding RNA. RefSeq lists it as uncharacterized. Lineage: Eukaryota; Viridiplantae; Streptophyta; Magnoliopsida; Ericales; Ebenaceae. The record is from RefSeq and is a predicted model, not a curated record. The transcript has 3 exons.
CGUCGCUCCAGCCUCAUCAUCGCCGUCACUCGCAUCGUCGCCAGUCGCAUCACUUGUAUAAGCUUUUAUUCCCAACAAUAGAUGCUACGCACCCAUAUUCGAAGCUUGGACUUGGGGACAUAGUUAUCCUAGACAUUUUUGUAGCACUGGCAUUGUGUUUUGGUGUCUCCAGGGGGAAAAGCAAGCCAGCAUUUCAAGAGUGCUUUUCUCGAAUACAUGGUUGGUUUUGUCCUUACCAUUAUAGUCAAGAAUUGGUUCCAAGCUGCACAGGUGUGUAGCUUUUGCCUUUGCCAUUAUAUAACUGGUCAUUGCCUUAGCCAUUUAAGGUUUAAUUUUGUUAUUUUACUCUGUAGUUGGAUCAUUUCUAUUCCUUUUUCCCCCCCCAACUAUUCUAAGGCUUAUAUACAUUUUAUUUACGUGUUCAGCUUGCAUUACUAUAUACAGUACUAACUAUUAUUGGAUUUUUGGCAACUCAUUGCAUGUGGAAUGAUGUGAUGUCAAAAAGGUUUGCCCACACCUGAUUCUGUGAUUUUUGUUGUGUUGUCUUUCCAUUUUUGUUGGGCAAUUACAGUUAGUUACUAUAAUUUUUCAUGAGUUCAGAGAUCCAAUCAGCUC